This 73-nucleotide transfer RNA is filed under the name Brachystegia kennedyi. RNAcentral's name for it is "tRNA-Met". The stretch from base 1 to 56 matches the Rfam family "tRNA", at positions 18 to 71 of the family's 71-position model. From Rfam's summary of the family: Transfer RNA (tRNA) molecules are approximately 80 nucleotides in length. The record is from RNAcentral. Lineage: Eukaryota; Viridiplantae; Streptophyta; Magnoliopsida; Fabales; Fabaceae.
GUUAGAGUAUUGCUUUCAUACGGCAGGAGUCAUUGGUUCAAAUCCAAUAGUAGGUAGAGCUAGAACUUAUUCG